AACGCGAAGAACCUUACCUGGGUUAAAUCCACCGGUAGCCUACAGAGAUGUGGGCUUGCCCUUCGGGGAGCCGGUGAGACGGUGCUGCAUGGCUGUCGUCAGCUCGUGUCGUGAGAUGUUGGGUUAAGUCCCGCAACGAGCGCAACCCUCGUCUUCAGUUGCUAGCGGUUAGGCCGAGCACUCUGGAGAGACUGCCGACGUUAAGUCGGAGGAAGGUGGGGAUGACGUCAAGUCCUCAUGGCCCUUAUGCCCAGGGCUACACACGUGCUACAAUGGCCGGUACAAAGGGUUGCAAAGCCGCGAGGCCAAGCCAAUCCCAAAAAACCGGUCUCAGUUCGGAUUGAAGUCUGCAACUCGACUUCAUGAAGGCGGAAUCGCUAGUAAUCCCGGAUCAGCACGCCGGGGUGAAUACGUUCCCGGGCCUUGUACACACCGCUACAGU
Molecule: ribosomal RNA, 442 nt
Filed under: uncultured bacterium
Lineage: Bacteria
Description: bacterial SSU rRNA
Rfam family: Bacterial small subunit ribosomal RNA
Source: RNAcentral